RNAcentral lists this ribosomal RNA (292 nucleotides) under uncultured bacterium. Its description in RNAcentral is "partial 16S ribosomal RNA". It matches the Rfam family "Bacterial small subunit ribosomal RNA", at positions 505 to 796 of the family's 1533-position model. The record is from RNAcentral.
GUGUCAGCCGCCGCGGUAAUACAGAGGUCCCAAGCGUUGUUCGGAUUCACUGGGCGUAAAGGGUGCGUAGGUGGUCGGGUAAGUCUGAUGUGAAAUCUCUGGGCUCAACCCAGAAAUGGCAUUGGAUACUAUUCGGCUCGAGGAGUGGAGGGCGGACUGGAAUACUUGGUGUAGCAGUGAAAUGCGUAGAUAUCAAGUGGAACACCAGUGGCGAAGGCGAGUCCCUGGACACUUCCUGACACUGAGGCACGAAAGCUAGGGGAGCAAACAGGAUUAGAAACCCUGGUAGUCC